This 1505-nucleotide ribosomal RNA is filed under the name uncultured prokaryote. Its description in RNAcentral is "partial 16S ribosomal RNA". It matches the Rfam family "Bacterial small subunit ribosomal RNA". The record is from RNAcentral.
AGAGUUUGAUCAUGGCUCAGAUUGAACGCUGGCGGUAUGCUUAACACAUGCAAGUCGAACGGAAACGAUGGUAGCUUGCUACCAGGCGUCAAGUGGCGGACGGGUGAGUAACGCGUAGGAAUCUGCCCAGUAGUGGGGGACAACCAGGGGAAACCCUGGCUAAUACCGCAUAAUCUCUACGGAGAAAAAGAGGGCCUCUUCUUAAAGCUUUCGCUAUUGGAUGAGCCUGCGUGAGAUUAGCUAGUUGGUGAGGUAAAGGCUCACCAAGGCGACGAUCUCUAGCUGGUCUGAGAGGACGAUCAGCCACACUGGGACUGAGACACGGCCCAGACUCCUACGGGAGGCAGCAGUGGGGAAUAUUGGACAAUGGGCGCAAGCCUGAUCCAGCAAUACCGCGUGUGUGAAGAAGGCCCUAGGGUUGUAAAGCACUUUCAGCAGUGAAGAAAUGCUUAAGGUUAAUAACCUUGAGUCUUGACGUUACCUACAGAAGAAGCACCGGCAAACUCCGUGCCAGCAGCCGCGGUAAUACGGAGGGUGCGAGCGUUAAUCGGAAUUACUGGGCGUAAAGCGUCCGUAGGCGGGAUGCCAAGUCUGAUGUGAAAUCCUAUGGCUUAACCAUAGAACUGCAUUGGAAACUGGUUACCUAGAGUAUGGGAGGGGGAGAUGGAAUUAGUGGUGUAGGGGUAAAAUCCGUAGAUAUCACUAGGAAUACCGAAAGCGAAGGCGAUCUCCUGGAACAAUACUGACGCUAAGGCGUGAAAGCGUGGGGAGCAAACGGGAUUAGAUACCCCGGUAGUCCACGCCCUAAACGAUGUUCACUAGUCGUCGGAAUGCUAGUCAUUUCGGUGAUGCACUUAACAGAUUAAGUGAACCGCCUGGGGAGUACGGUCGCAAGAUUAAAACUCAAAGGAAUAGACGGGGACCCGCACAAGUGGUGGAGCAUGUGGUUUAAUUCGAAAAUACGCGAAGAACCUUACCUAGCCUUGACAUUGAUUGAACACUUUAGAGAUAGAGUGGUGCCCUUCGGGGAACAUGAAAACAGGUGCUGCACGGCUGUCGUCAGCUCGUGUCGUGAGAUGUUGGGUUAAGUCCCGCAACGAGCGCAACCCCUAUCCUUAUUUGCCAGCGCGUUAUGGCGGGAACUCUAAGGAGACUGCCUUCGCAAGAAGGAGGAAGGUGAGGACGACGUCAAGUCAUCAUGGCCCUUACGGGAUGGGCUACACACGUGCUACAAUGGCAGGUACAGAGGGCAGCGAUACCGCGAGGUUGAGCGAAUCCCACAAAGCUUGUCGUAGUCCGGAUUGGAGUCUGCAACUCGACUCCAUGAAGUCGGAAUCGCUAGUAAUCGUAGAUCAGAAUGCUACGGUGAAUACGUUCCCGGGCCUUGUACACACCGCCCGUCACACCAUGGGAGUGGGAUGCAAAAGAAGUGGCUAGUCUAACCUUCGGGAGGACGGUCACCACUUUGUGUUUCAUGACUGGGGUGAAGUCGUAACAAGGUAACC